RNAcentral lists this ribosomal RNA (264 nucleotides) under uncultured bacterium. RNAcentral describes it as "partial 16S ribosomal RNA". It matches the Rfam family "Bacterial small subunit ribosomal RNA", at positions 338 to 620 of the family's 1533-position model. The record is from RNAcentral.
CCUACGGGGGGCAGCAGUGGGGAAUAUUGCACAAUGGGGGAAACCCUGAUGCAGCAACGCCGCGUGAGUGAAGAAGUAUUUCGGUAUGUAAAGCUCUAUCAGCAGGGAAGAAGAUGACGGUACCUGAGUAAGAAGCCCCGGCUAACUACGUGCCAGCAGCCGCGGUAAUACGGAGGAUGCGAGCGUUAUCCGGAUUCAUUGGGUUUAAAGGGUGCGCAGGCGGGCCUUUAAGCCGGCGGUGAAAUCCGGGGGCUCAACCCCGCC